Molecule: non-coding RNA, 64 nt
Organism: Cavia porcellus (domestic guinea pig)
Lineage: Eukaryota; Metazoa; Chordata; Mammalia; Rodentia; Caviidae
Source: Rfam
GGGGAUUUAGCUCAGCGGCAUAAGCGCCUGCCUUGUAAGCAGGUAGCUGUGAGUUCGAUCCCUG